RNAcentral lists this long non-coding RNA (214 nucleotides) under Dermacentor andersoni. RNAcentral describes it as "uncharacterized LOC126525293". Lineage: Eukaryota; Metazoa; Arthropoda; Arachnida; Ixodida; Ixodidae. The record is from RNAcentral.
GCCCAAUGAGAGAAGCAACAUGGCCGGCGCUGUGUUUGUGACGGUCGUAUCCGGCAUUUGUGCGGUACUCAACGUCAUUAAUAUACUGAUAACCCUGGCAAGUCUUGCUGCUGAGAUUUUCCCCGAAGCAGCUAUCUUCAACAUCGCCAGCAUGGCUGUUACCGGACUGAGCAUCUAUGGUGACAUCUUGCUUAUCAUAUCUGCCAGAUCUAAA